Molecule: ribosomal RNA, 253 nt
Filed under: uncultured bacterium
Lineage: Bacteria
Description: partial 16S ribosomal RNA
Rfam family: Bacterial small subunit ribosomal RNA
Source: RNAcentral
UACGUAGGGGGGCAAGCGUUGUCCGGAUUUAUUGGGCGUAAAGCGCGUGUAGGUGCCAAGUAGGUCCGCUGUGAAAACUUGAGGCUCAACCUCAAGCUGUCGGUGGAAACCCCUUGGCUAGAGUCCGGAAGAGGAGAGUGGAAUUCCUGGUGUAGCGGUGAAAUGCGCAGAUAUCAGGAAGAACACCAAUGGCGAAGGCAGCUCUCUGGGACGGUACUGACACUGAGACGCGAAAGCGUGGGGAGCGAACAGG